RNAcentral lists this long non-coding RNA (420 nucleotides) under Malus domestica (apple). Its description in RNAcentral is "long non-coding RNA (MDOM_LNC007836)". The record is from RNAcentral. Lineage: Eukaryota; Viridiplantae; Streptophyta; Magnoliopsida; Rosales; Rosaceae.
GGCAGGCCAGGCCGUUGCAGCCGUCGAUGUUCAUGGCGCAGGAGCCGCAGAUCCCUUCCCGGCAAGAUCGCCGGAAGGUGAGGGUGGGGUCCAUCUCGUUCUUGAUCUUGAUGAGGGCGUCGAGUACCAUGGGCCCGCACUCCUUGAGGUCGAUCUCGUACUCCUUGAGCUCCGGCUUCUUCGGGUUGUCCGGGUUCCACCGGUAGAUUGAGAAGGUCUUGAUGUCCGUUUUGUCUCGGGCCUUGAGGUCCACCUGCUGGGCCUGGGCCUCCGACGCCAUAGCCCGGACGCACAAGUAACGAAACGACGCCGCCGCCGUCGAUCCCGACGACGCCGCAGAAGCAAUGGCCCUCCGUAUCAACCCCGUCGCCAUUGUUGCGUUUCCGAGCUCCAACAACUGCGAACAGAGAGAGAGAUUGG